RNAcentral lists this small RNA (28 nucleotides) under Bombyx mori (domestic silkworm). Its description in RNAcentral is "ovarian small RNA-10976". Lineage: Eukaryota; Metazoa; Arthropoda; Insecta; Lepidoptera; Bombycidae. The record is from RNAcentral.
ACAAUGUCUAAGAUGCUUGAAGUAUGGU